Non-coding RNA from Mesorhizobium loti, 75 nucleotides. The record is from Rfam. Lineage: Bacteria; Pseudomonadati; Pseudomonadota; Alphaproteobacteria; Hyphomicrobiales; Phyllobacteriaceae.
GUAGUGGUAGCGUCAGUUGGAUAGAGCGCUCGCCUGCUAAGCGAGAGGACGCGGGUUCGAGCCCCGCCCACUCUC